UGGCGGACGGGUGAGUAAUGUCUGGGAAACUGCCUGAUGGAGGGGGAUAACUACUGGAAACGGUAGCUAGUACCGCAUAACGUCGCAAGACCAAAGAGGGGACCUUCGGGCCUCUUGCCAUCGGAUGUGCCCAGAUGGGAUUAGCUAGUAGGUGGGGUAACGGCUCACCUAGGCGACGAUCCCUAGCUGGUCUGAGAGGAUGACCAGCCACACUGGAACUGAGACACGGUCCAG
This 234-nucleotide ribosomal RNA is filed under the name uncultured bacterium. RNAcentral's name for it is "partial 16S ribosomal RNA". It matches the Rfam family "Bacterial small subunit ribosomal RNA", at positions 96 to 334 of the family's 1533-position model. The record is from RNAcentral.